Vicia faba (fava bean) is the source of this 282-nucleotide non-coding RNA. Lineage: Eukaryota; Viridiplantae; Streptophyta; Magnoliopsida; Fabales; Fabaceae. The record is from the annotation of a GenBank genome assembly.
AUGAACUCCAAACUGAGGAAGAUAGAUCUCGAAGAAAUCAUGUGGUCAAAGGUUACUGUUUUGACAAACCAAGCUGUAGAAAACAUGUUCAAAAUUCAAUUUGCAUGUCUUGUAAUAAAAGCCAGCUUAUCUAAUUUAUCUAUCUGGAACUGUUCUAUGCUCUUGUGUGUGUCGUAUCAGUCAGUUUCAUGUGUGUACUUCAUAAGAUCUGAGAAAACGUAUCAAGGUGCAACCAAUCUAAGAAAACGAAACAAAUCCAUUAAGAAAAGAGGAUUAGCAAAC